RNAcentral lists this non-coding RNA (1724 nucleotides) under Pongo abelii (Sumatran orangutan). The record is from RNAcentral. Lineage: Eukaryota; Metazoa; Chordata; Mammalia; Primates; Hominidae.
GAUGAAGUCACAAACCAGAGGGAGGAGGCCAGGCCUGCAGGGGCUGUUUCGGACGGCUGGCCAAGCGGGCAGCUGCAACCUGGGCAUGUAUGUCUGUGUGGCAGGGGGACUUCUGGACUAGGGGCUCGGCACCGACCCAGGAAGGGGAGCUGUGGGUGGGGACAUCUGGCCCUAGUCUCAGAGCGACAUCCCUCGAAAUGCCAUCUGGCCCCGGAAGGUGCAAGGGAGGCAGGCUGAGUCUGCUCAUGCUACCGCGGGCCGCCCAGGAAGGAAGCAGGCUGCCCGCCAGGCUGGCAUGCGCCUCUUGCAGUGGAGGGUUUGCUCUUCAGGAAUGGUCAGAGACCCUCUAGGCUCCCUCGGCCGCACGCUAGGGGCGAGCACAGGAAGCCACAGGAGUCCUCCAAGCCAGAUGAGCCCGCCCUGCAGCACUGCCAGCACUUGGGACGCCAGACUCCCUUCAGGCAGCGGGCCCUGAGGGCACUGCGACAGCUCAGCACCCACCAUGGAUCAGCAACAGGACAACCGCGGCGCGGAGACACAGACGGGAAGUGUGUGGGGUCCUGGGAUAGGCCCAACUCAAAGAUUUCCCCUCCCUGGGGCUAAGGUCUCAGCCGUGAGGGGCUCUGGGGAGGGGAGGUCAGAGUGGCCUGGAGAGCUCUCCCCAAGGAGGGCCUCAGUCCAGGUCCAGCACAGGAGGGCCGUGGGAUCCGUGGGAUCUGUAGGGGAAUCACCAGGGCUGGCCCUAAGGCUCUCUGGCCAGCGCCAGGGAGGCAGGGGCUCCAAACCAGCAGGCUGCUCAGGGUGGUCCUCGGACAGCAGCCAUGCCCUCCCAGGGAGCUUGCCAGACACACAGACCUUUCCCAGCCUCCAGACCAGAACCUGCAUUUUUUAGGAGCUUUCUGGGGGACCCUCACCUGUGACCUGCCUCCAGGGACACUUUCUCGCUCUACAGACACCACUGAUGUGAAGAUGCAAGAGACAGGACAACCCCCCAUGAAGAGUCCUGUCCACCCACCACUGAGGCCUGGCCCGACUUUCUACAAGACUCUGCUGAGGGGGAAGUGCCCCUCGGAGUAAAGGAAAUACAGCCCCACUCCUGGGAAGACAGUGCUCUUUUCCAUCAGAGGCCACGCCCCCCACUCACGCCAGGCAGAAAGCCACACCUGCAGGAGCCUGCUCCCCACCCAAUGCCAGGGGCGGAAAUGUGGACAGAGGGCGACUUCUCCGCCAGCCUGGCGGGGGCCUGCAGCAAGCUCGCCGAUGCCCUCUGCGCCUGCUGGGCCCGCAGCCCCUCCUCUGGGGAGGCUCUGGGACUGGAGCAACUGGGACUCUCCUGGCUGCUGACCCCGGAGCCAGGCUCUCUGCUUUUCUCGCACUACCUCGCCACGUCUGCACAGGGGCCUGACAAGCACUACUGUCUCCGGGCUACAGAGGACACCGGGGCUCAGAGCUGGACAACUGGCCCAAGCCCAGGCCGCACAUCGCGCAGCAGACAGUCUGCCGCACUCUGCGGGAGGUCACCCUGGGGCUGCUGUCCCUGCUCUGGCCCCCGCCCCAGCACCGCGGGCAAUCUAACAGGAAGGGGCAGGGGCCAGUUCUCUCUGGGACUCGGGCAGCGUCAAAGAUAAGGUGUCUUCAAAAAGCUCAUGGAAAACGUGUGUUGUGACGAAACUUGCAUGGCUUUCAAGUUUUCUGCCCCGAAAUAAACUGAUACUAACUUGUCA